This is a long non-coding RNA of Neltuma alba, 510 nucleotides long. RefSeq lists it as uncharacterized. The transcript has 2 exons. NCBI's taxonomy places the organism in Eukaryota, Viridiplantae, Streptophyta, Magnoliopsida, Fabales, Fabaceae. The record is from RefSeq and is a predicted model, not a curated record.
UUUUAAAAGGAUUUUGGAACCCUAAGUCCCUACAUGUCACGGCCUAGAGAAAUUUUAAGGAGGGAAUGGAAUUUCAUAAAACCAAUUCCAUAUUUGGAUUCUACAUGAAAAAUCAUGUAGGAUUAGCCCUUAAAAGUUUCAAGAAUUAAGUUAAGAAAGUUAGGCCAAAAUUCAAGAUAAAAGGGUUUUGAGCUAGAGUUAAAUUAUGGGGUUUAUGUAAUGAUCUAAGUGGCAUUGUUGGUUGUUAAAUAGGCUUUAUACAACCUCAAAGAAGGGCCACGGUUUGGAAGAGGAAAAAGAGCCAAGUAAAGGGCCUUCACUAGCCAAGAGCAAGGGCAAAGAGGUGGCCAAGAAGAAAAGGUAAAGUAUCUUGAAGAAGUUGGAAAUUCAAGAAGACAUAGAAAAACCCUAUUUGCAAAGUUAUGUAAUUAAAGUAUGUUUUAGGGUUUAUGUCUUCAUGCAUGGUAGAAAAGCAUGCUAGAUGUUAUUAUGAAGUUAUUUGCAUGCUUA